AUUGAACGCUGGCGGCAGGCCUAACACAUGCAAGUCGAGCGGAUGAAGGGAGCUUGCUCCUGGAUUCAGCGGCGGACGGGUGAGUAAUGCCUAGGAAUCUGCCUGGUAGUGGGGGAUAACGUCCGGAAACGGGCGCUAAUACCGCAUACGUCCUGAGGGGGAAAGUGGGGGAUCUUCGGACCUCACGCUAUCAGAUGAGCCUAGGUCGGAUUAGCUAGUUGGUGGGGUAAAGGCCUACCAAGGCGACGAUCCGUAACUGGUCUGAGAGGAUGACCAGUCACACUGGAACUGAGACACGGUCCAGACUCCUACGGGAGGCAGCAGUGGGGAAUAUUGGACGAUGGGCGAAAGCCUGAUCCAGCCAUGCCGCGUGUGUGAAGAAGGUCUUCGGAUUGUAAAGCACUUUAAGUUGGGAGGAAGGGCAGCAAGUUAAUACCUUGCUGUUUUGACGUUACCAACAGAAUAAGCACCGGCUAACUUCGUG
RNAcentral lists this ribosomal RNA (484 nucleotides) under uncultured bacterium. RNAcentral's name for it is "partial 16S ribosomal RNA". It matches the Rfam family "Bacterial small subunit ribosomal RNA", at positions 30 to 507 of the family's 1533-position model. The record is from RNAcentral.